This 429-nucleotide ribosomal RNA is filed under the name Chloroflexota bacterium. RNAcentral's name for it is "Chloroflexi bacterium partial 16S ribosomal RNA". It matches the Rfam family "Bacterial small subunit ribosomal RNA", at positions 355 to 776 of the family's 1533-position model. Lineage: Bacteria; Bacillati; Chloroflexota. The record is from RNAcentral.
UGGGGAAUAUUGCACAAUGGGCGCAAGCCUGAUGCAGCCAUGCCGCGUGUGUGAAGAAGGCCUUCGGGUUGUAAAGUACUUUCAGUCGGGAGGAAGGUGGUAAGGUUAAUAACCUUAUCAAUUGACGUUACCGACAGAAGAAGCACCGGCUAACUCCGUGCCAGCAGCCGCGGUAAUACGGAGGGUGCAAGCGUUAAUCGGAAUUACUGGGCGUAAAGCGCACGCAGGCGGUUGAUUGAGUCAGAUGUGAAAUCCCCGGGCUUAACCCGGGAAUUGCAUUCGAAACUGGCAGGCUAGAGUCUUGUAGAGGGGGGUAGAAUUCCAGGUGUAGCGGUGAAAUGCGUAGAGAUCUGGAGGAAUACCGGUGGCGAAGGCGGCCCCCUGGACAAAGACUGACGCUCAGGUGCGAAAGCGUGGGGAGCAAACAGG